Molecule: unclassified non-coding RNA, 414 nt
Filed under: soil metagenome
Description: partial contains 5.8S ribosomal RNA, internal transcribed spacer 2, and large subunit ribosomal RNA
Rfam family: 5.8S ribosomal RNA (bases 1-120)
Source: RNAcentral
GAUGAAGAACGUAGCGAAAUGCGAUACGUAAUGUGAAUUGCAGAAUUCCGUGAAUCAUCGAAUCUUUGAACGCACAUUGCGCCCCUUGGUAUUCCAGGGGGCAUGCCUGUUUGAGCGUCAUUUCCUUCUCAAACAUUCUGUUUGGUAGUGAGUGAUACUCUUUGGAGUUAACUUGAAAUUGCUGGCCUUUUCAUUGGAUGUUUUUUUUCCAAAGAGAGGUUUCUCUGCGUGCUUGGGGUAUAAUGCAAGUACGGUCGUUUUAGGUUUUACCAACUGCGGCUAAUCUUUUUUAUACUGAGCGUAUUGGAACGUUAUCGAUAAGAAGAGAGCGUCUAGGCGAACAAUGUUCUUAAAGUUUGACCUCAAAUCAGGUAGGAGUACCCGCUGAACUUAAGCAUAUCAAUAAGCGGAGGA